This 505-nucleotide ribosomal RNA is filed under the name uncultured bacterium. RNAcentral's name for it is "bacterial SSU rRNA". It matches the Rfam family "Bacterial small subunit ribosomal RNA", at positions 28 to 514 of the family's 1533-position model. The record is from RNAcentral.
GACGAACGCUGGCGGCGUGCCUAAUACAUGCAAGUCGAGCGAAUCUUUAGGAGCUUGCUCCUGAAGAUUAGCGGCGGACGGGUGAGUAACACGUGGGCAACCUGCCUGUAAGACUGGGAUAACACCGGGAAACCGGUGCUAAUACCGGAUAAUCCUUUUCCUCUCAUGAGGAAAAGCUGAAAGUCGGUUUCGGCUGACACUUACAGAUGGGCCCGCGGCGCAUUAGCUAGUUGGUGAGGUAACGGCUCACCAAGGCGACGAUGCGUAGCCGACCUGAGAGGGUGAUCGGCCACACUGGAACUGAGACACGGCCCAGACUCCUACGGGAGGCAGCAGUAGGGAAUCUUCCACAAUGGACGAAAGUCUGAUGGAGCAACGCCGCGUGAGUGAUGAAGGCCUUCGGGUCGUAAAGGCUCUGUUGUUAGGGUAAGAACAAGUAUCGGAGUAACUGCCGGUACCUUGACGGUACCUAACCAGAAAGCCACGGCUAACUACGUGCCAGCAC